Cornus florida is the source of this 2285-nucleotide long non-coding RNA. RefSeq lists it as uncharacterized. The record is from RefSeq and is a predicted model, not a curated record. The transcript is spliced from 2 exons. NCBI's taxonomy places the organism in Eukaryota, Viridiplantae, Streptophyta, Magnoliopsida, Cornales, Cornaceae.
UCGAAUUGUAUCUAACCUAAGUUAUGGUCAAAACCCUUUGAAUAUUUUCGGACGGGGCGGGACGGAUUGAGAUUUUUUUUUCCCCAACAAAUUUUUUUUUUUUUUUUCGGAAUUUAUUCACUACGUAUAUUAUAUAUAUAUAUACAUAUGCUCGUGUGCGCUUUACAUCCUUGUAAUAUCGAUAUAGUGCUUAUAACCUCCCAUUGUUUGUUACCCUUUCUUACAAUUUAAAAAUGUUGUUUGUUAACCUUUCUUACAGUUUAAAAAUGGUGUGAUUAGCUCCUUUUGAGUGUUGACCUCUAUUGAUCAGUACCGAGCUACAAAAAGACUAAAAUAACCCUCUAUCUAUGAUUUAAAAAUAAUAAUAAAAUAACAUACAAUGAGAAAAAUAAAUUUAAAAAAAAAAAAAAAAAAUAGCCCUCUAUCAAUACGCGGUCGUUUCAAGUUAGGGCAUAUUCACAGUUUACAAACUUGCACUCUCUUUUGGUCUCUGUAGAGAAAGUAGAGAUGAACUAACAAUUGUAAUGGUUGUUUCUGAAACUUAUCUUCAUUUCUUUUGGUUCUCUCAAUCGGUAUCACCACUUUUCAAGUUGAGACAACAUCCAUCUUGGGAAAUUCACACCUCAUACCAUCUUAUAUCCAACUUUUUUAGAUUUUGGUGCGGUUGCAGUCGUCAUAAGAGUCGCCGUAACACCGGAACCAGAGGGUGCGGAAGUUGCGAUUGGAGAUGGAAUUUGAUUUCUUGAUUUAGGGGGAGAAAUUGUUGGACAAACCCAAAAGGAAUCGUUGUGUGAAGAAACAAAUGAGAUCAAGAAAUCGUGAGAGAGCAACCGCGUGAGAUCGAAUCGGAUUGCUCUCUGCAAGCUAUUCUCUUCGAUGUUGAUAUCUGUAUGACCAUUAUUAGGGCUGACGGUAGUGAAUUUGCUGGUGAGAUGUGCGAGGUAGGGAGAGAGAGAUUAGGGUAUUAUAUACAAAUAUAUAUAUAUUUAUAUGGUGAAGGGAGUAAAGGAAUAUAAGAAGGGUAAUUUUAUGAAUAAAGGUUUUUAAAAUGGUCAUGUGCAUGGCACAUGACUAAUUUGCGUCGAAUUUUAAUCGAAAAAUUCUUAACGGAGGUGCUUAAUUACACAUUUUUAUAUCUAAUAUGAAUUUAUAUAAACAAAUUUAACUAUAAGGGGUAAUUCGCACAGAUUUAAAAAUUAUAGAGGUGUUUUUCAAACUUUUCCCUAUAACUCAGCCUAAAUAUUUUUGAGCAGGUUGACAGGUUAAUUUUUUUUUUUUCCCUUAACAAUUUUUCUUUUUUUUUUUUAGGAAUUUAUAUAUUACGUAUAUUAUAUAUUUAAUUAUAUUAUUAUUAAAAAAAUAAAAUAUUUUUAGGGCAAAUCAUUUCAGCCUCCCAAUCGCCCCAACCUAUUCUCUCUCCCCUUCCCUCCUCUCUCUCUCUCUCUUUCACUCUCCAACUGCAAACUACAAAAUUUACAAGAAUCUGAAGUUCAAAACCCAUAUAUUUCAGUUUUAUCUAGUUUUUUUUUUUUUUUUGAAAGGUAAGAAUCAAAAGUUCAAAACUCAUAUCGGCAUAUCAUUUCAGAUUGUUCAAAAAAUUAAAACCUAUAUCUUUCAGUUUCCAUCGCCUGUUGUUCUAGUUCGAGUUCGCUGUUUGCAAACUACAGCCGCUGUCUCUCAACUCUCAAGCUUGCCCCCCCUCUCUCUGUGCAACUGCUAACUUGUAUGUAUAGGUUAUGUUUUAAUUUUUUUUUUUUCUAAAUCAAUUAAUCAAGGUUUGUAAGACUGUAAUUCUUGUUUUACAAAUCAAUUAAUCAUGUUCUGUAAGAGGGGCGUCGGCGACAGCACUGAGGGGACGGCGGCGGAGAGAGAGAGAGAGAGAAAGAGAGAAGAGAGAGGAGAGAGAAAGAAGAAUUCUUUUUUAUUUUUUCUUUUUUAAUUUGGGUUUUAGGUUGGGUUCUGAUUGAGCCCAGCCCAACCCGAAUAUAUCUGGGUUUUGACAAAAUUCAACCCGAACAUGAACUCGAUUUGGGAAUUUAAAACCCCAAUUUCAAAUUUUCUGGGUUAGGCUGGGUUAGCCCGCCCAACUAGGAAGCACAGACACUCCAAAAUGGGGGAAGAAUCCGUAUCCGACACGUGUCGGACAGGUUUUUGUGAAUGUUAAGUGCUAACAGUAAAGUCCUAAAUGUUAAACAGUCAUGAACGUUAAUAGUCCUUUCUGUCUAUACUUUUGUAUUUGGAGUAAAGUUGCAAUGAUGAUUAAAUGAUACUAGUUAUUAUUCUAA